Trifolium pratense (red clover) is the source of this 218-nucleotide long non-coding RNA. RefSeq lists it as uncharacterized. The transcript is spliced from 2 exons. Lineage: Eukaryota; Viridiplantae; Streptophyta; Magnoliopsida; Fabales; Fabaceae. The record is from RefSeq and is a predicted model, not a curated record.
AUAAAUAUGAUUUUUAGAAAGUUUCCUUGGCAAAAAGCACAAGGAUCAAUUCAAUGAGUUAAAGAGACAACAAACACAACACAUCCAUAUAUAAUUUCAUUCUUGCAUUCAUGACGAUGACUGUCCAUAUGAUUAUUGUACCCCUCCUAAAUAUUCAAAGUGUAUUUGGAGUAGUUGUUAUUGUAAAGAUUUUAAUGAAUAAUAGUUAAGUUGAAAAA